RNAcentral lists this transfer RNA (72 nucleotides) under Bos taurus (domestic cattle). It matches the Rfam family "tRNA". From Rfam's summary of the family: Transfer RNA (tRNA) molecules are approximately 80 nucleotides in length. Their secondary structure includes four short double-helical elements and three loops (D, anti-codon, and T loops). RNAcentral also lists the same sequence under 5 other names. Lineage: Eukaryota; Metazoa; Chordata; Mammalia; Artiodactyla; Bovidae. The record is from Rfam by way of RNAcentral.
UCCCUGGUGACUCAGUUGGUAAAGAAUCUGCCUGCAAUGCAGGAGAUGCAGGUUCAAUCCCUGGUUUGGGAA